GGCCUCGCCCGACGGCGGAAAAUAAACUAAACGAAAGAUGCUGGUAGAUCGUAAAUUGUACGAGCCGAACGCGUGAUAAGUAAAAAAGCAGACAA
The submitters of this non-coding RNA (95 nucleotides) gave its source as unclassified sequences. The record is from Rfam.